AUUUAGAAAUAAUCCCUGGAUCAAUGGGAUUUUAAUCUAACCAAUUCACAAUUGGAUUGGGGCCUAAUUGGAUUUAUAAUUGGACUAGAACACAAUUAGUUAGUUUGUUAUAACUAAUUCCUAAAUUGGUUGGGAUUGGAUUCAAGAAUUAGUUAGAGUUGGAUCAAGAUCUUGAAUCCUAUUUGGAAUAGGGCUUAACCAACUUC
Molecule: long non-coding RNA, 206 nt
Filed under: Elaeis guineensis (African oil palm)
Lineage: Eukaryota; Viridiplantae; Streptophyta; Magnoliopsida; Arecales; Arecaceae
Description: long non-coding RNA (EGUI_LNC053712)
Source: RNAcentral